GAAAUGCGAUAAGUAAUGUGAAGUGCAGAAUUCAGUGAAUCAUCGAAUCUUUGAACGCACCUUGCGCUCCUUGGUAUUCCGAGGAGCAUGCCUGUUUGAGUGUCAUGAAAUUCUCAACUACCCUUUAUGUUAAGGGUGAAGUUGGAGUUGGAGGAUAAUUGCUGGCGCAACUAAGGUUGCUUGUUGGCUCCUCUUGAAUGGAUGAGCUUUUCUGAUAGAUCAUAGCUCAGUAACACUAAUGUGAUAAUUAUCUACGUUAGCUGUGAAAGCUUGUGAGUAGAGUGACUUCAAAUAUGGAGACACUCCUAUGGAAAAGGUGUGUCUUGACUUAAUGACAAAUCUGACCUCAAAUCAGGUAGGACUACCCGCUGAACUUAAGCAUAUCAAUAAGCGGAGGAAAAGAAACUAACAAGGAUUCCCCUAGU
This 425-nucleotide ribosomal RNA is filed under the name uncultured Thelephoraceae. RNAcentral describes it as "eukaryotic LSU rRNA". The stretch from base 1 to 105 matches the Rfam family "5.8S ribosomal RNA", at positions 50 to 154 of the family's 154-position model. The record is from RNAcentral. Lineage: Eukaryota; Fungi; Basidiomycota; Agaricomycetes; Thelephorales; Thelephoraceae.